Molecule: ribosomal RNA, 478 nt
Filed under: uncultured bacterium
Lineage: Bacteria
Description: bacterial SSU rRNA
Rfam family: Bacterial small subunit ribosomal RNA
Source: RNAcentral
GACGAACGCUGGCGGCGUGCCUAACACAUGCAAGUCGAACGAGGUCCAUCCUUCGGGAGAAGACCUAGUGGCGAACGGGUGAGUAACACGUGAGAAACCUGCCCCGAAGACCGGGAUAACCCUCCGAAAGGAGAGCUAAUACCGGAUGCCCCCACCGAGCCGCAUGGCUUGGUGAGGAAAUGGAUUCCGCUUCGGGAGGGUCUCGCGGCCUAUCAGCUAGUUGGUGGGGUAACGGCCCACCAAGGCAUCGACGGGUAGCUGGUCUGAGAGGACGAUCAGCCACACUGGGACUGAGACACGGCCCAGACUCCUACGGGAGGCAGCAGUGGGGGAAUCUUGCGCAAUGGGCGAAAGCCUGACGCAGCAACGCCGCGUGGGGGAUGAAGGCUCUCGGGUUGUAAACCCUUUCAGCAGGGACGAAAUCAGACGGUACCUGCAGAGGAAGCUCCGGCUAACUACGUGCCAGCAGCCGCGGUAA